ACAGUAUUAGCACCUCGAUCGAUCCUGUCAUCUGGUGGGUGCGCCGUCUGCGUUCCCAGUGGAUGGCUGAAGCUUGGUGACGUCCCUUCACGCCGGCUCAGAUUGGAAAAGAAGAGUCGGGGACUCGGGGCUGCCCUAUCUGCAAGCGCGACGCACCAACCUACAGAUCCGUUCCAACCUAUACAUGUAGGUGUGCCAGCUGCAUCCUGUGCCUCCUGCCCUAGAUGCACGUAAAGGAAAAAGGCAAACUGCAGCAUAUUUUCCGCAAGCUUUUGCAACUGUUGUCGCUCCGAAUGAGGACAGUGUGUGUACGCGGGCAUCUUCUCCGCAACAUCCAAAUGCAUGCUCGUGAGGAGCCUGAAGGAAAUCAUAAUUUUAUUGGAAAAAAAUUACGGGCACUACGAAAGAUGCUGACAAACUAUUGAAGAUGAAGAUGGCGUUUUGGGUUGCCUCGCUUUCAGAUAGUGAUGAUGCUUCUGGAUCGGAACUUGGGGACGAUAGCGCCACCAGGAACCUCACACUUUCACAUCAGAGAAUUUAGUUCAUCGCCUACAUGAAUGCCGAUGGCAAAAGCAAGGACAAUUUUGACGUUGUCGCGUCCUCCCUCACACAUGUACUACUCAGGCACUGCACCCCUCAAGAAGAUCGACCAGGCAAAAGGAUCCAACAAAAUCAUCGUAGAACGCCAUUCUUUGGAAGUACACCUGGACUGAAGUACGAAGUGUGUGCAAGUGAGGGCCACCAAUGAGGAAACCAAUGAACCUUCGAAGUGAUCCUCUCAUAGCUAUGGAGAAGUUAAGGGUGUGUC
This is a long non-coding RNA of Triticum aestivum (bread wheat), 808 nucleotides long. RefSeq lists it as uncharacterized. The record is from RefSeq and is a predicted model, not a curated record. The transcript is spliced from 4 exons. NCBI's taxonomy places the organism in Eukaryota, Viridiplantae, Streptophyta, Magnoliopsida, Poales, Poaceae.